This is an RNA transcript of Zea mays, 1349 nucleotides long. RefSeq lists it as uncharacterized. The record is from RefSeq and is marked validated. Lineage: Eukaryota; Viridiplantae; Streptophyta; Magnoliopsida; Poales; Poaceae. The transcript is spliced from 3 exons.
UCUAACACUAACGCUUUACCUCUUUGUGUAGAUUGUAUUGUUUAAAUAUUUUUAGUUUUUUAUAAUACAUGACGAGAGUCUAACAUAGGGGUAUGUUAAACCCUCAGAUUAAGGACAUCACGGUCUAGCUAACAUCCCUGACCGAUUCUCCUAAUCAACCGAGGGCUCGGAUGUUAGAUUCAUUGUGCACAUACACUCUCUGGGUCAUCAACGGGCGGCUUCAUCGAGGCGUAGAGGUCGUGCUCGACAUAGCUGUCGUAGACGACGAGAGGAGGAUGCGUGGACUCCACCACCUCCACCUGCGGCUGUGGGUCCUUCAACUCGAUGGUGCUGGACACCGUCGCGGUAGACGUCUGUGACCUCUGUGACGACCGACUUCCCACCACGGCGACCGCAUCGUGGGAGACUCCUCCACCGAGACGGAGUAGAGCGACGGCGGUGGCAGCGGCAGGAGGUCAAGGAUAUACGUCUGUAAACCGCGGACGGGGCUCGGGCGUGCGCAGCGGCUGCAGGUCUCGCCAGCGUCGGCGUCGGCGAGGUCGCCGCCAUGGGCGCGCGGCCGUGUGGUCACAGUCACAGUGGUCGGAGUGUGAUUGGUUGGAAAUCGAACGCGAUGCGGGCCUGCCUUUUGGGCUCGGUGGGCCGUGAGUCCCAUUUUGUUUGGGCGGCAAAGGAAACGAAUUGAUCCUACUGAUCAUAUUCGUUUGGCUUCAACGGUCAGGAUUUGGCUUCCACUCCAUGGGCCUUUCGCUCGACAAGCUCAUCAAAGCCGCCGCCGCCGCCGCCGUCGCCUCAGCUCGCUCCGGCUGCCUCUGCCUCCCCUGCCUCUGAGGAUUUGCUUGGGGAGAGACUUAUUAUGAGAUUCGCGGGUUGGUACCUGAAGAUCGCGGCGGUAGGGGCCUCCAUUGGCGCCGCCAUGGAGCUCUUCAUGAUCCACACGGGCUUCUACGAGAAGGUAACUGUCUUGGAGUCAGAAAAACGAGCUUGGGAAAGCAGUCCAGAGGCCCAAGCAAUGAGAGAAGCUCUCAAUCCAUGGCGCAAGCAUGAUGAACAAGAACAACAGAAGUAGUCAAGAUUUAUGUGUCUUGUCGAGUGUCUGUGCCCCCCCAUCCGUAGACCCAUGAAUGAGGAUUAAUUGGGCACACCUAUCAACGAACAAGAUAUUUGGUGUGCAGGUGGGUCACUCAUCUAGCAGUCAAAAGCAGAGAAGGGGCAGACUGGUAGGAGGAAAGCAGAGUUCAGCCGGUUGCAGAUGACAUCCAAUUCAGAGUUUCUGUUGGUUGGUUUGUUGAUGAUGAAUGUUCUUAACUUUUUGCUGGAUACUCCGCUGAUUUAUUAUAGUGUCCCCA